This 451-nucleotide ribosomal RNA is filed under the name uncultured bacterium. RNAcentral describes it as "bacterial SSU rRNA". It matches the Rfam family "Bacterial small subunit ribosomal RNA", at positions 29 to 524 of the family's 1533-position model. The record is from RNAcentral.
AACGAACGCUGGCGGCAGGCCUAACACAUGCAAGUCGAACGCCGUAGCAAUACGGAGUGGCAGACGGGUGAGUAACACGUGGGAACGUACCCUUCGGUUCGGAAUAACUCAGGGAAACUUGAGCUAAUACCGGAUACGUCCGUAAGGAGAAAGAUUUAUCGCCGAGGGAUCGGCCCGCGUCUGAUUAGCUUGUUGGUGAGGUAACGGCUCACCAAGGCGACGAUCAGUAGCUGGUCUGAGAGGAUGAUCAGCCACAUUGGGACUGAGACACGGCCCAAACUCCUACGGGAGGCAGCAGUGGGGAAUAUUGGACAAUGGGCGCAAGCCUGAUCCAGCCAUGCCGCGUGAGUGAUGAAGGCCUUAGGGUUGUAAAGCUCUUUUACUCGGGAAGAUAAAUGACGGUACCGAGAGAAUAAGCCCCGGCUAACUUCGUGCCAGCCGCCGCUGUAAU